UACAUAGGGGGCAAGCGUUGUCCGGAAUCACUGGGCGUAAAGGGAGCGUAGGCGGGUGUUUAAGUUAAGUGUGAAAGCCUGGGGCUUAACUCCAGAAAUGCACUUAAUACUGGACACCUAGAGUGUGGGAGAGGUAAGUGGAAUUCCUAGUGUAGCGGUAAAAUGCGUAGAGAUUAGGAGGAACACCAGAGGCGAAGGCGGCUUACUGGACCACAACUGACGCUGAGGCUCGAAAGCGUGGGGAGCAAACAGG
RNAcentral lists this unclassified non-coding RNA (253 nucleotides) under uncultured Eubacteriales bacterium. RNAcentral describes it as "contains 16S-23S intergenic spacer region". It matches the Rfam family "Bacterial small subunit ribosomal RNA", at positions 524 to 776 of the family's 1533-position model. The record is from RNAcentral. Lineage: Bacteria; Bacillati; Bacillota; Clostridia; Eubacteriales.